AUUAUCGUACAACCGAGGUGCAAGGGCUGUCGCUGACCUUCAAAGGUUGUGCACGCCCGAGUGCUCUCGCACAAUAUCCAUCUCACACCCCUUUGUGCAUCACCGCGAGGGUCCCAGUGGCUGUAAUGGCCCCAAGGUGGGAAUGCGAGGCGAUGUCUUCCCCAACGGAGUCCCGUGCUUGUGCGCCGAGUUCAAGACUGUCCCCUCCGGAAAACUUUGGUGUCCAUUGUCCCCCACAGCGUAGGCUGUGGUCGGAUUUGGAGUAAUCGGCCCUUGUCUAGCCAGGGAAGCAAUUCCGCAGCUAGCAGGGCUCACCGAGUUGGUCUUAGGAGAUCAGGGCACGUCAUCUGUCGCGCGGGUGCGCCGUGUCCCUCGUAGACCUUUAUACCUCGCGUUUUCACACAAACCUCUGAUACAGUGUAGAAUGUUAUAUUACCCUUUGCGGUCACACGCAAUCAAUACAACUUUCAACAACGGAUCUCUUGGCUCUCGCAUCGAUGAAGAACGCAGCGAAAUGCGAUAUGUAAUGUGAAUUGCAGAAUUCAGUGAAUCAUCGAAUCUUUGAACGCACCUUGCGCCCCUUGGCAUUCCGAGGGGCACACCCGUUUGAGUGUCGUGAAAUCAUCAAAACCCUUUUCUCUUUGAUCCCAAAUUUAUUUUGGUCGGGAAAAGGAUUUUGGACUUGGAGGUUCCAUGCUUGCUUUCUUUUGAAGGCGAGCUCCUCUCAAAUGAAUCAGUGGGGUCCGCUUUGCCGAUCCUUGACGUGAUAAGAUGCUUCUACGUUUUGGAUUUGGCAACUGUCCCUUGGAUUCCUGCUCCUAACGGUCCCAUGGACAAUGAUGGGUGCCUCCGGUCAACCGCCGCCUACGUUGGCGGGGGGGAGGCUGGACCCACAAAAAGAAAACCUUGACCUCAAAUCGGGUGAGACUACCCGCUGAACUUAAGCAUAUCAAUAAGCGGAGGAAAAGAAACUAACAAGGAUUCCCCUAGUAACUGCGAGUGAAGCGGGAAAAGCUCAAAUUUAAAAUCUGGUGGUC
RNAcentral lists this ribosomal RNA (1037 nucleotides) under uncultured fungus. RNAcentral's name for it is "eukaryotic LSU rRNA". The stretch from base 463 to 616 matches the Rfam family "5.8S ribosomal RNA". The record is from RNAcentral. Lineage: Eukaryota; Fungi.